Molecule: long non-coding RNA, 811 nt
Filed under: Mytilus galloprovincialis (Mediterranean mussel)
Lineage: Eukaryota; Metazoa; Mollusca; Bivalvia; Mytilida; Mytilidae
Source: RNAcentral
CAUUUGGUAGACCUGCCUUAAAUUAUGCAUCUAAGUCGUCCUAGGCAGAGUCAUUCGAUAAACGAAAAAAAAGUCAAAUGCAACUUCAGUGGAAUUAUUCAUUACUUAAAAUGAAAUAAUAACACCUUAGCGUCAUUGUUGUAGUGCUAAGGGACAUUGUUCGCAACCAGUAGUGAAAUAAAAUAUUUAUAGUUGAAAAAAAAAUAAUUUUAAAUUGGAAUAUUACCGAAAAUUGUUGGAUACGCAAGAAAUAAAAUGAAACGAUCACCAUUUAACACUUUGUAAAUUCGUCGAGAUCAAGACGAAUCGAAAGUCAUCUUCUAAAUCCGAAUGAAGAUAUGUCGAGAACUUAUGGUAGUAUUGGAUUAUUACGGGUAAAAAAACUAGUAGUGAUCAAAGCUGAGCAUUAUAAUGAACAAGUAUAAAUAUCAAUACGUUGUACUAACAACCGUGCAUUAGUCGAAUACUGUAGAUCUAUAAGACAUGUAAAAAUCAACUUUACUAUUGAUUAACCGGUAAAUUGGCCAGAAGAUUGUGCGAGUAACCAGGUAGGAAAAACUGUUCGAUUUGACAUCACACAGGUUUAUGCGACGGUCAAACAAUUGAGAAGUUUAGCUAGCUAUAAAACACAAUCAAUCAACUAUUUUAACAUGUGCAUGUAACAUGUCAGGAAUAUGACAGUUGUUUUCCAGUCGUUUAUUGUGCUUGUUCUUUUGAUUUUUGUCAUUUGAUAAGGGACUUUCCAAUUUAAAUUUUCCUCGGAGUCCAGGAUGUUUGUCAUUUUACGUUUAGUAUCAUAAUUUGUUUGACC